UGUUGAUGUUGCUGUUUCUUUAAACAAUCUUGGUUUGGUGUUUGAAAAAACUGGAAACUACGACAAAGCUAUAGAGGUUCACGGAAAAGCUCUAAAAAUUCGAAAACAAUCGUUAGGUCCAAA
Molecule: long non-coding RNA, 123 nt
Organism: Xenia sp. Carnegie-2017
Lineage: Eukaryota; Metazoa; Cnidaria; Anthozoa; Malacalcyonacea; Xeniidae
Exons: 2
Source: RefSeq, a predicted model, not a curated record